AGGAUCAUUACCGAGUUGAUUCGGGCUCCGGCCCGAUCCUCCCACCCUUUGUGUACCUACCUCUGUUGCUUUGGCGGGCCGCGGUCCUCCGCGGCCGCCCCCCUCCCCGGGGGGUGGCCAGCGCCCGCCAGAGGACCAUCAAACUCCAGUCAGUAAACGAUGCAGUCUGAAAAACAUUUAAUAAACUAAAACUUUCAACAACGGAUCUCUUGGUUCUGGCAUCGAUGAAGAACGCAGCGAAAUGCGAUAAGUAAUGUGAAUUGCAGAAUUCAGUGAAUCAUCGAAUCUUUGAACGCACAUUGCGCCCUUUGGUAUUCCGAAGGGCAUGCCUGUUCGAGCGUCAUUACAACCCUCAAGCUCUGCUUGGUAUUGGGCACCGUCCUUUGCGGGCGCGCCUCAAAGACCUCGGCGGUGGCGUCUUGCCUCAAGCGUAGUAGAACAUACAUCUCGCUUCGGAGCGCAGGGCGUCGCCCGCCGGACGAACCUUCUGAACUUUUCUCAAGGUUGACCUCGGAUCAGGUAGGGAUACCCGCUGAACUUAAGCAUAUCAAUAAGCGGAGGAA
This 563-nucleotide ribosomal RNA is filed under the name Botryosphaeria dothidea. Its description in RNAcentral is "eukaryotic LSU rRNA". The stretch from base 190 to 343 matches the Rfam family "5.8S ribosomal RNA". The record is from RNAcentral. Lineage: Eukaryota; Fungi; Ascomycota; Dothideomycetes; Botryosphaeriales; Botryosphaeriaceae.